UAGGGAAUAUUAGAAAUGGACGAAAGUCUGAUCUAGCCACACCGCGUGUGCGAAGAAGGCCUUCGGGUCGUAAAGCACUUUUUGGAAGGAAUAGGAAGGAAUGUACUUCCAGAAUAAGUCCCGGCUAACUACGUGCCAGCAGCCGCGGUAACACGUAGGAGGCGAACGUUAUCCGGAUUUACUGGGCGUAAAGCGCGUGGAGGUGGUUCUGUAAGUAGGGCGUGAAAGCUCCUGGCUCAACUGGGAGAGGCCGUUCUAAACUAC
RNAcentral lists this ribosomal RNA (264 nucleotides) under uncultured prokaryote. RNAcentral describes it as "partial 16S ribosomal RNA". It matches the Rfam family "Bacterial small subunit ribosomal RNA", at positions 355 to 636 of the family's 1533-position model. The record is from RNAcentral.